Zea mays is the source of this 4156-nucleotide RNA transcript. It is a transcript of the gene named N-acetyl-D-glucosamine kinase pseudogene, with no coding region annotated. The record is from RefSeq and is marked validated. Lineage: Eukaryota; Viridiplantae; Streptophyta; Magnoliopsida; Poales; Poaceae. The transcript has 14 exons.
CGCUUGCCCAGCACACGCACACACCUCCCUGACCCGGCUGCGAAUGUCGUCGCACGAGGCCGCGCCACCGCUCCGUCCCGGCUCCGAGCCGCCGCGCCACCCCUCGCCACCUCCCCGAGUCCCACAGCCGCGACGCGCGUGUCCCCGUCGUGCCACCACUGCCUCCCCAUCGCUGCCUCCCCGAACCCCCGCAGCCACGACGCAUGCCGUCGUCAUCGAACGAGGCCGAAGCCCCACCACACCACCACUCCCUCCCCCUCGCCGCCUCCCCGACCGGUCGCAUCCCUGCAGCUCAGAGGCUACCGGUAGACGGAGAGAACCCUGCUCCCUUGCCUAGGAUUCCCAAAACCCUAGCCUCGACCCGUAUACACGAGGACCCCCGACAAUGAGGAGGCUGCUGCGACAGCUGCGCCACGUUCAUGGUCGACAAGGUCAUCGCGCUCACCGCCUCGAGCACCCCCGACGACGAGGAGGCUGCUGCGACGGCCGCGCCACGUUCCUGGUCGGCAAGGUCAUCGCCCUCUAAUACCUCAUGCGCCAUUGUUGCAUCGUCUAUCCCAAGGUUAUCUCAGAGGACCAGCCAAGAACAAAAGGAGUUGAACAGAUGGAAAAACCAUUUCACAGGAUUGAAAGCAUGUUCUUUACCAAAACUUGAUUUGAGCACACACAAAAUAAAUAAUGCUAACUAAACUAAACUCAUUUGCCCCGCAUAGUUUCAGUUAUACAGAAUACAACUAAGAUCCUAUAAUAUAAUCCAGUUACAGAGGAGGCAAAAAGCAGUUUUGUGUUAACAUUUAUGUUGCUUUUACCACUAGCCUACUAUACUCGCUCCCAAAAAGGGAAGCGUAUUUUAUAGAGCGAAAAGCCAAACCUUACAGACUUUGUUCAACAAUUAAUCAAAUUAUAUAGGAGUUUAGGACAUGUAGAAGCCUCGAGCAAUGUCUCUGCCCGGUGCCCAGAUAGCAAAAUGAUUGUGGUGUUUACUGAGACACCAUAGGCCAGUAAAAAAAUCGCUGGUGCAUGAGGAUUUGCACCACUGCAAUAGGUUGGUAUGCCGCACAGCCACAACCACACAGGCAUACAGUCAAGACUAUGGUUGUUCCAAUUAUAAUCAAGAUAAAGUGAAAAUGCAGCAUGUUCCUAAUGCACUGUAUUUGUCCCAUUAGCCCAACAAUAUGUCACGUCCCCUCUGAACUAUGAAGGCUAUGGUUUACCAGCUGAAUGUUCUGAUUAGCUUAACCGUUGUAGCAUGGAGACUUGCAAACAUAAUUAGGGACACUAUUCUUCGAGUGCCUCUGUUAAUUACAGUGAGGAAUUCCCUAUUGUUUUUUCUCAGAUGUUUUGUCGAUACUCGGGAUUGAGUUGUGUGCCUAGGAUUCCAUGUUUUUUGAUUUGAGCUUUACUUCCCAGUUAUACUUCUCAUUCUUUGGGUUUUGUACCUAAUGACCUGUAUCGAAACAUCUAUGGUUACUAAAUUGUUCUUAAUCAGAUCAGGUAUAAACUUGUCAUCGUGGCUGGGGACAAAACGGGUGAAACUGAGUUUGUUAUGUUUGGCCGGAUAACACAGCAUGUCAGCAUCUCGUGCGGAAAACGGCUGCAGUGGUGUAUGCCCUGUCAAUAGAAUCAGCGGUGUAUUCCCUACAAAAUCUGACAAUAGCAUCGACGGUGUAUGCCCUAUCACCGGCAAGGAUCAUGGUAGCAACCUCAAGGAAAGUCGUGAUCAUGGUGAAGAAAAGGGCAAGGGUCCUUGUGUGGUACCAGCAAAAUGCCCAUUUGGUUAUGACUCCAACACUUCCAAGCUAGGUCUGCUUAGCUUCACUGUCUGCCAGACACUGCUCCAUGAAAGUAGAAAAUCGCAUGUAUAUCAUGCUUUAAAGACAGUCCACUAUGUGGUGCCGAUAUAGAAUUCAAGCUCUUGUUCACCGAUUCAUUGAUGGUCAUGCCAGAAUCAAGCGAUCACAUGCUACAGGGGAUGUGGAAGCAGCAGGUGACAAGAAUAAAGUCAUAUAUGAGGAUGUUUUCAUGGAGAGAUGGGCUUUUCUAGCGCAGCAAGCUGUGAGGGUCGAUAACUAAGAUUUUUGUGUCUAAAACAUUGGAAGUGCAAAGUCAAGGCUCACUAUGUAUGUAGACGAUAUCAAGGAGUUAAAAUGUUCAGAAGAUAGACCUAUGUUCACAACUUGGAGCUGUGUUAGGAAUGCUUGGGGAUUGUUGCUCGAGUUACCCUGUGGACCUAACAGAUCCUGAGUAUGAUCACAAGUCUAUAUUUGGGAGGACACAUUCUGUUGUGGCAUUCUUGCCAAAUUUAAAAGCUGGUAAAAAGAAGAGCUUGCUAGGAGAUUCAAAAGAGCCUGAAGACCAAGCACCACAUAAGGUUGUUAUUUUCAUCCUUUGUCAUCAAGUACUGGCUUUCAGGGACAUAAACACUCAAGCUCCAACACACAUCCUCAUCAUCCCCAAAGUCAAGGAUGGACUAACUGGUCUGUCAAAGGAAAGGAUGACAUUAAACCACAAGAAUACAUCACAAUGGCCAAAGCACAUCCUUAAGCGUGGAUUGUCUAUUCAAGAUGAAGGCACUCGAGCUGCUAUUGCAACACAACUCCAACAAAAUACUCUUGUUUAUUUCUUCAUCUAGGUCUACGACGGAUCCAUCCUGCUGGACAAUCGCUCAAGCAUCGUGUCAGAGAUGUUCGCCACACCCAACAACAACUCGAUGUGCGGGUACCCCGUAGUCGAUGCCGUCAAGGCGGUGCUGGAGGAGGUUUGCCUAGGCAUCGUCUCAUACGUUGACAUACUGGAGCUGAGAAAGGGACAAAACAAAGAACGAACUUCAAAUCAAAGCUAAAGAAGCGGAUAUUCAAAAUCUUAAAAAGCCACCACGUGGCCGCUCCUCAUCCUGGUGCUCCUCAACUGCAUCAAGAGGGCAUCUUGGGGAAGAAGCAUGGUGCCACCAAGAGCGUUGUCGUUCGGAUGUUUCGCGUUGUUGACCAGUGUGUAGAGGAUCUCAAGCUAUCAGACACAGUUAAUGCUUAAUCCUUAGAGCUGCAUAUAACCAAGUGGUGCUUACCUGGAUUUGAGGACCUAUGAUGCUUGUUUAUCUCAAGAGUAAUGUAGGCCAGCGAGUGCUCGGGCAGAUAGAAGAGAGAGAGAGAGAGAGAGAGGAGAUGCAGCGGCUCACGGGGCGGGACAUGUGGGACGUGGAGGAGUGCCAGAGCCCGCGCAUGGGCAGCGUCAUCCUCGGCGUCGGCGGCACCAGCAACACCGUCUGCGUCUGCAUCCCCGCCGCCAUGCCCUUCAACGACCCCCUCCCCGUCCUCUCCCGCACCGUCGCCGGCUACUCCAACCACAACUCCGUCGGAGAGGACAGGGCAAGGGAGACGCUGGAGAGGGUGAUGUCGCAGGCGCUGCUCAAGGCGCGCCGGCGACGGUCAAAUGUCUGCGCCGUCUGCUUGGCCGUAGCAGGCGUCAACCAUCCAGUCGAUCAGCAGAGAAUGCUGGACUGGCUCAGGGACAUAUUUCCAAGCCAUGUCAAGCUGUUCGUGGAGAACGACGCGGUGGCGGCGCUGGCCAGUGGAACCAUGGGCAAGCUGCACGGAUGUGUGCUGAUCGCAGGGACAGGGACCAUAGCGUAUGGGUUCACCAGUGAUGGUAGGGAAGCUCGAGCAGCAGGUGCAGGGCCAGUUCUGGGUGACUGGGCCAGUUAACGAAGUGGAGCACCUGAACUAGCAGUCACGUCUGCAAUAUACACACCAGCAAAACACUCCUGUAACACUAAACAGUUCAUGCAUAUCCUUGACUGAAGACGAUGUUGCAAAGGUUUCAGACAUCAGCUUUGGCGUUGACAAGAAACAAGAUGACGAGUACAAUGCUCCUGAUGAGUACAACGCAGUGUAUAAAAUUGCUUUGUACUACAACGCAGUGUAUAAGUUUGCUUUGUACUGCUUGAGACCAUCUCUGGAAGGCGUUCAUAUUUUGACGAUGAUGUGCUCCUAUAUUUUCCUUUCUGAAUACCAAAUUCUUUAAUAUGUCCUCUUGUGUGGAAUCAAGUUCCUAAUUUAGCUAGAGCAAUACUUGAAAAGAGGAAUCACAAUUAGUUGUUUUUCAUGUGAUUGUAUAACAAUUUCUCGUAAAUGAAUAUAAUGCUGACUAAUUUACUGUU